RNAcentral lists this ribosomal RNA (468 nucleotides) under uncultured bacterium. Its description in RNAcentral is "bacterial SSU rRNA". It matches the Rfam family "Bacterial small subunit ribosomal RNA", at positions 30 to 492 of the family's 1533-position model. The record is from RNAcentral.
AUUGAACGCUGGCGGCAGGCCUAACACAUGCAAGUCGAGCGGUAGAGAGGUGCUUGCAUCUCUUGAGAGCGGCGGACGGGUGAGUAAUGCCUAGGAAUCUGCCUAGUGGUGGGGGAUAACGUUCGGAAACGGACGCUAAUACCGCAUACGUCCUACGGGAGAAAGCGGGGGAUCUUCGGACCUCGCGCCAUUAGAUGAGCCUAGGUCGGAUUAGCUAGUUGGUGAGGUAAUGGCUCACCAAGGCGACGAUCCGUAACUGGUCUGAGAGGAUGAUCAGUCACACUGGAACUGAGACACGGUCCAGACUCCUACGGGAGGCAGCAGUGGGGAAUAUUGGACAAUGGGCGAAAGCCUGAUCCAGCCAUGCCGCGUGUGUGAAGAAGGUCUUCGGGUUGUAAACUGCUUUGUACGGAACGAAACGGUGAGCUCUAAUACAGUUUGCUAAUGACGGUACCGUAAGAAUAAGCA